UGAGUACGAGACGCUAAGGCGUUGAAGCAGUGUAUGUCAGACUUCCAAGAAAAGCUCGCAAUGUCAUAAACAAGAAAUGCCUGUACCAUAACCGACACAGGUGGUUAGGUAGAGUAUACUAAGGGGCGCGAGAUAACUCUCUCUAAGGAACUCGGCAAAAUGACUCCGUAACUUCGGGAGAAGGAGUGCCUUAUUUCAUAAGGUUGCAAUAACAAGAUCCAAGCAACUGUUUACCAAAAACACAGGUCUCCGCUAAGUCGUAAGACGAUGUAUGGGGGCUGACGCCUGCCCAGUGCCAGAAGGUUAAAGAAGUUGGUUAGCCUAGCGAAGCUGAUGACUGAAGCCCUGGUGAACGGCGGCCGUAACAAUAACGGUCCUAAGGUAGCGAAACUCCUUGUCGGGUAAGUUCCGACCCGCACGAAAGGCGUAAUGAUUUGGAUACUGUCUCGGAGAGGGGCUCGGUGAAAUAGACUUGUCUGUGAAGAUGCGGACUACCUGCACCUGGACAGAAAGACCCUAUGAAGCUUUACUGUAACUUGAGAUUGAAAUUGGACUUUAUUUGCGCAGUAUAGGUGGGAGACGUUGAGAAUACUCUUGCGGGAGUAUUGGAGUCAUCAGUGAGAUACCACUCUUGUAAUGUUAGAUUUCUAACUUUGGAUCAUUAUCUGGUCAAAGGACAGUUUCAGGCGGGCAGUUUGACUGGGGCGGUCGCCUCCCAAACGGUAACGGAGGCGCACAAAGGUUUCCUCUGAACGUGUAGAAAUCGUAUCUAGAGUGUAAAGGCAUAAGGAAGCUUGACUGUGAGACCUACAAGUCGAGCAGGGACGAAAGUCGGUCUUAGUGAUCUGACGGUGCUGAGUGGAAAGGCCGUCACUCAACGGAUAAAAGUUACUCUAGGAUAACAGGCUGAUCUCCCCCAAGAGUUCACAUCGACGGGGAGGUUUGGCACCUCGAUGUCGGCUCAUCGCAUCCUGGGGCGGUAGUACGUCCCAAGGGUUGGGCUGUUCGCCCAUGAAAGCGGUACGCGAGCUGGGUUCAGAACGUCGUGAGACAGUUCGGUCCAUAUCCGGUGUAGGCGUUAGAAUAUUGAGAGGAGCCUUCUUUAGUACGAGAGGACCGAGAAGGACAUACCUCUGGUGUACCAGUUAUCGUGCCAACGGUAAACGCUGGGUAGCUAUGUAUGGAGUGGAUAACCGCUGAAAGCAUCUAAGUGGGAAGCCCACCUCAAGAUAAG
RNAcentral lists this ribosomal RNA (1234 nucleotides) under metagenome. RNAcentral's name for it is "bacterial LSU rRNA". It matches the Rfam family "Bacterial large subunit ribosomal RNA", at positions 1564 to 2808 of the family's 2925-position model. The record is from RNAcentral.